This 429-nucleotide ribosomal RNA is filed under the name uncultured bacterium. RNAcentral describes it as "bacterial SSU rRNA". It matches the Rfam family "Bacterial small subunit ribosomal RNA", at positions 355 to 776 of the family's 1533-position model. The record is from RNAcentral. RNAcentral also lists the same sequence under 1 other name.
UGGGGAAUAUUGGACAAUGGGCGCAAGCCUGAUCCAGCAAUGCCGCGUGUGUGAAGAAGGCCUUCGGGUUGUAAAGCACUUUUAUCAGGAGCGAAAUCUGCAGGGCUAAUACCCAUGCAGUCUGACGGUACCUGAGGAAUAAGCACCGGCUAACUCCGUGCCAGCAGCCGCGGUAAUACGGAGGGUGCAAGCGUUAAUCGGAAUUACUGGGCGUAAAGCGUGCGUAGGCGGUUCGUUAAGUCUGUUGUGAAAGCCCCGGGCUCAACCUGGGAAUGGCAAUGGAUACUGGCGAGCUAGAGUGUGUCAGAGGAUGGUGGAAUUCCCGGUGUAGCGGUGAAAUGCGUAGAGAUCGGGAGGAACAUCAGUGGCGAAGGCGGCCAUCUGGGACAACACUGACGCUGAGGCACGAAAGCGUGGGGAGCAAACAGG